RNAcentral lists this ribosomal RNA (429 nucleotides) under uncultured archaeon. RNAcentral's name for it is "bacterial SSU rRNA". It matches the Rfam family "Archaeal small subunit ribosomal RNA", at positions 474 to 903 of the family's 1478-position model. The record is from RNAcentral.
UACCAGCUCUCCGAGUGGUAGGGAUGAUUAUUGGGCUUAAAGCGUCCGUAGCCGGCUUAGCAAGUUUCCUGUUAAACCCAGCGACUCAAUCGUUGGAUCGCGGGAAAUACUACUAGGCUAGGAGGCGGGAGAGGUCAACGGUACUUCUGGGGUAGGGGUGAAAUCCUAUAAUCCCGGGAGGACCACCAGUGGCGAAGGCUGUUGACUAGAACGCGCUCGACGGUGAGGGACGAAAGCUGGGGUAGCAAACCGGAUUAGAUACCCGGGUAGUCCCAGCUGUAAACGAUGCGAGCUAGGUGUUGGGAUGGCUGCGGGCCAUUUCAGUGCCGCAGGGAAGCCAUUAAGCUCGCCGCCUGGGGAGUACGGCCGCAAGGCUGAAACUUAAAGGAAUUGGCGGGGGAGCACCACAAGGCGUGAAGCUUGCGGUUC